Molecule: ribosomal RNA, 395 nt
Filed under: uncultured bacterium
Lineage: Bacteria
Description: partial 16S ribosomal RNA
Rfam family: Bacterial small subunit ribosomal RNA
Source: RNAcentral
AAUAUUGCACAAUGGAGGAAACUCUGAUGCAGCGACGCCGCGUGAGUGAUGAAGGCCUUCGGGUCGUAAAACUCUGUCCUAGGGGACGAUAAUGACGGUACCCUAGGAGGAAGCCCCGGCUAACUACGUGCCAGCAGCCGCGGUAAUACGUAGGGGGCAAGCGUUGUCCGGAUUUAUUGGGCGUAAAGGGUUCGCAGGUGGUCCUUUAAGUCAGAUGUGAAAGAUCACAGCUUAACUGUGGUAAGCAUUUGAAACUGGAGGACUUGAGUUAAGGAGAGGAAAGUGGAAUUCCUAGUGUAGCGGUGAAAUGCGUAGAUAUUAGGAGGAAUACCAGUGGCGAAGGCGACUUUCUGGACUUAUACUGACACUGAGGAACGAAAGCGUGGGGAGCAAAC